GAUGAAGAACGUAGCGAAAUGCGAUAAGUAAUGUGAAUUGCAGAAUUCAGUGAAUCAUCGAAUCUUUGAACGCACAUUGCGCCCGCCAGUAUUCUGGCGGGCAUGCCUGUUCGAGCGUCAUUACAACCCUCAGGCCCCCGGGCCUGGCGUUGGGGAUCGGCGGAGCCCCCCGUGGGCACACGCCGUCCCCCAAAUGCAGUGGCGGUCCCGCCGCAGCUUCCAUCGCGUAGUAGCUAACACCUCGCGACUGGAGAGCGGCGCGGCCACGCCGUAAAACACCCAACUCUUCUGAAGUUGACCUCGAAUCAGGUAGGAAUACCCGCUGAACUUAAGCAUAUCAAUAAGCGGGGGA
RNAcentral lists this unclassified non-coding RNA (352 nucleotides) under soil metagenome. RNAcentral describes it as "partial contains 5.8S ribosomal RNA, internal transcribed spacer 2, and large subunit ribosomal RNA". The stretch from base 1 to 120 matches the Rfam family "5.8S ribosomal RNA", at positions 35 to 154 of the family's 154-position model. The record is from RNAcentral.